Molecule: ribosomal RNA, 460 nt
Filed under: uncultured bacterium
Lineage: Bacteria
Description: partial 16S ribosomal RNA
Rfam family: Bacterial small subunit ribosomal RNA
Source: RNAcentral
CCUACGGGUGGCAGCAGUGAGGAAUAUUGGUCAAUGGGCGAGAGCCUGAACCAGCCAAGUAGCGUGAAGGAUGACUGCCCUAUGGUUUGUAAACUUCUUUUAUAUGGGAAUAAAGUGUUCCACGUGUGGGUUUUUGUAUGUACCCUAUGAAUAAGCAUCGGCUAACUCCGUGCCAGCAGCCGCGGUAAUACGGAGGAUGCGAUCGUUAUCCGGAUUUAUUGGGUUUAAAGGGAGAGUAGGUGGUUAGUUAAGUCAGUGGUGAAAGUUUUGGGCUCAACCCUAAAAGUGCCGUUGAAACUGGUAGACUUGAGUAUAGUAGAGGUAGGCGGAAUUCGUGGUGUAGCGGUGAAAUGCAUAGAUAUCACGAAGAACUCCGAUUGCGAAGGCAGCUUACUAAACUGCAACUGACACUGAAGCACGAAAGUGUGGGGAUCAAACAGGAUUAGAUACCCUGGUAGUC